CACCAUGCGGAAACGUUAUGAUGGCCAUUUCCGAAAUUGAAAAUGAAAGAAACUGAAAUCCCCAUUUUUUUGUAUGUAUUGAUUUUCAUUUCAUGUUUGCAUUCACCCUAUUUGUUCGAUCUGUACUCGGUCAGGGGUGGAUUUAUGUUAAAAGAUUGGGUUUCCAGGAACCCAUUCGGUUUGUAGUUUUUAGCGAAAACCUAUGGGUGAACCCAUAACAAAAUCUGUUUAGUGUUCCACUGGUAGAACACGCCGCUUCAACCUAGUUCCAACCGUCGGUUCCGCCACUCCUAAUCUUUCUAAAUCUCUCAGACAUUCAAAAGAUGAGCUCCUCAAGCUUAAGAAGCUUGUUAGCGCAAGCAGCGGUUAGAGGAGUAGCAGAAGCAAGGGCACACGUAUUUGGUCAUGUGCUUAAUCCAACUGGUCAAAGAUCAGCCCAUAAGAUUUUACGCAAGAAGUUCAUUGGAGAAAAAGUUGCGUCAUGGUAUCCGGAUGACAUCCAAAAAGAGGACCCUAUGGUUGUGCAACGCAAAGAACAAGAGCGUUUAUCAAAACUUGAAAUGUUGAAGCGUCGUGGCAAGGGACCGCCAAAGAAGGGACAAGGAAAGAAAGCUCAAAAACGUAAUAAAUAGAUAUCAAUGCCUGUUCGUUUCAAGUUUCUUUUGACCUACAAAACUAAAAGUCUGUAUUUUAAUUUUUUCAAGUUGGAUCUUGUUAAUGAUAGCUUAAAGCUAUUGAUUUUGAAUAAUGCAUUUGUUAACUGCCUAAUGGGUACUCCAGAGGCGACCCAGUAGCGUAUUUCGUGGUG
This is an RNA transcript of Helianthus annuus (common sunflower), 808 nucleotides long. It is a transcript of the gene named 28S ribosomal protein S33, mitochondrial, with no coding region annotated. NCBI's taxonomy places the organism in Eukaryota, Viridiplantae, Streptophyta, Magnoliopsida, Asterales, Asteraceae. The record is from RefSeq and is a predicted model, not a curated record. The transcript has 4 exons.